Molecule: ribosomal RNA, 503 nt
Filed under: uncultured Allomuricauda sp.
Lineage: Bacteria; Pseudomonadati; Bacteroidota; Flavobacteriia; Flavobacteriales; Flavobacteriaceae
Description: bacterial SSU rRNA
Rfam family: Bacterial small subunit ribosomal RNA
Source: RNAcentral
UCCGGAAUCAUUGGGUUUAAAGGGUCCGUAGGCGGGCCUGUAAGGUCAGGGGUGAAAGUCUGUGGCUCAACCAUAGAAUUGCCUUUGAUACUGCAGGUCUUGAGUCAUGGUGGGGGUUGCCGGAACAUGUGGUGUAGCGGUGAAAUGCAUAGAUAUCACAUAGAACACCGAUCGCGAAGGCAGGUGACCAACCAUGUACUGACGCUGAUGGACGAAAGCGUGGGUAGCGAACGGGAUUAGAUACCCCGGUAGUCCACGCCGUAAACGAUGGAUACUAGCUGUGGGGCAUUCGUGCUCCGUGGCCAAGCGAAAGUGAUAAGUAUCCCACCUGGGGAGUACGUUCGCAAGAAUGAAACUCAAAGGAAUUGACGGGGGCCCGCACAAGCGGUGGAGCAUGUGGUUUAAUUCGAUGAUACGCGAGGAACCUUACCAGGGCUUAAAUGCAGGCUGCAUGGGGUGGAGACACCCCUUUCUUCGGACCGCCUGCAAGGUGCUGCAUGGUU